GCCGGGAUGGUGGAAUUGGCAGACACGUACGUUUGAGGGGCGUAUGCGUUACAGCGUGGGGGUUCGAGUCCCCCUCCCGGCA
RNAcentral lists this transfer RNA (82 nucleotides) under Candidatus Omnitrophota bacterium. RNAcentral's name for it is "tRNA-Leu". It matches the Rfam family "tRNA". Rfam says of the family: Transfer RNA (tRNA) molecules are approximately 80 nucleotides in length. Their secondary structure includes four short double-helical elements and three loops (D, anti-codon, and T loops). The record is from RNAcentral. Lineage: Bacteria; Pseudomonadati; Candidatus Omnitrophota.